Molecule: long non-coding RNA, 652 nt
Filed under: Pan troglodytes (chimpanzee)
Lineage: Eukaryota; Metazoa; Chordata; Mammalia; Primates; Hominidae
Description: long non-coding RNA NONPTRT003071
Source: RNAcentral
AAAAAGCUCCUGGAACCGAUAAAUGAAUUCAGUAAAGUUUCAGGAUACAAAAUAAGGUAUAAAAAUGAGCUUCUGCACUGCAAAAGAAACUAUCACCAGAAUAUACGUACAAAUAAACAAACGUGUGCAUGUGUCUUUAUAGCAGCAUGAUUUAUAAUCCUUUGGGUAUAUAUCCAGUAAUGGGAUGGCACCCAAUACCAGAGCACCCAGAUUCAUAAAGCUGGUCCUUACAGAUCUAGAAAGAGACUUAGACUCCCACACAAUAAUAAUUCCUUAUUCUUUCAUGAUAAGAGCCCUCAACAGACUAGGCAUCAAAGGAAUAUACCUCAAAAUAAUAAGAGCCAUCUGUGACAAAAAAAAUCAACAAAUUUGGUGAAAUAAACUGUCACAUAAAGACACUAUUCCCUUCCUGUCUACCUCUUAUCUUUAUUUCCCUAUUUCAAAAAUCUUAUUAUACAAUUUGCCAGUCUGUGUCUUUUAACUGGGGCAUUUAGUGCAUUUACAUUUAAAGCUAAUAUUGUUAUGUGUGAAUUUGAUCCUGUCAUUAUGAUGUUAGCUGGUUAUUUUGCUCGUUAGUUGAUGCUGUUUCUUCCUAGCAUCGAUGGUCUUUACAUUUGGCAUGUUUCUGCAGUGGCUGAUACCGGUUGUUCCU